Molecule: long non-coding RNA, 3579 nt
Filed under: Drosophila guanche
Lineage: Eukaryota; Metazoa; Arthropoda; Insecta; Diptera; Drosophilidae
Source: RNAcentral
UAAUUGAUUUAUUUUUCUCACAGUUCCUUCUUUUGUCAUAUGGUUGUGUACAUCGUUAUGCUGUUUCGUUUCUUCGUUCCUUGAACCAGUUCAUUCGGAAUUAUUGUACACAUUAUAUUCCUUCUAGUUUCAGUUCAUUUAUCUGUUUUUAGUCCAUAAAGAGCGAAAAUUUUUUCUCAUCGGCCUUCACAUAUUUGUUUUUUUUGGUGACACUGCGUUUAAAAAGAAAAAUUUUUUAAUUUGUAUUAAAUAAGCGAGCGUUAUUUUAGAGAACUAUUAAAACUUAAUAUGUCUGAACUUCAGUCAUCUUUACUGCUAAAGAAACAAUUGGCUGGUGAGUUAAAUACAAAUAUUUGAUAAAUGUAUUAUAUAUGUAUAUAUAUUUAUCUAUGUAUCUACAUACAAAUUAAUAUGAAUAUAUAUAUAUAUUGAUACAGAAAUGUACAUAUAUAUUAUGUACACAAAAAUUUCCGUCUUGGUUUGUCUCCAAGGAAUGUCUUUGUGUUGUACAUAUGUACAUAUAUAUUUUUAGGGAACUGAUUCCCUAUUACGAUGUCACAUGUUCCAAAAAAGGAAACUGGCAAACGGGCGUAGAUUUAUUUAGAAUUAUCUAAAUUACAUCUGAAUAGUAUAUUUACACUUUUUUCUAGUUUACUUAGUUAAUAGUGCCUUCAAAUUCGAACGAUAAAGUACGGAGCUGUAUCGAGCCGGAUACAUGUUACAUGCACAUGUUUCAUACAUAUACAUAUGUAUGGACAUGCAUCCAUCUGCAAAUUUAAUAUUCUAUUUAGGCGAAAAAUGUCAGUUUUCUAUGAGACAGACUUUUUGUUUUUUAUGUUUGGAAGUCGCGAAGUACAAGGUUAUAUUGUACAUGUGGAAAUAUCAGUAACUGCAGGGUACUGUUCAUCAUAGACAUCCGAGCCUUUUUACAUACAUACACAUACAUACAUAUGUAUUUGCAAACAUACAAAUAUGUAUGCAGCAUUGUCCGUGUGUUUGAACACAUGGAUCGGGAGACUUCUAAGUUAACGAACAAUUUGAAUGUUUUUAUUUGUGAUAAGUUCUGGAUAAAUUUCGAUUCUAUAAUUUGUCACGCCCUGUUCUUAAAUCGGAAUCAAUGGGGCGAGUUCACAUGGGCAUUUUGAUCCAACAACUUUAUUCCAUACGAUUGUUCUGAUAAACGCAUAUGAUUAGUAAUUUUGUUGCGGAAAUUAAGGCAUCAUAUAUUGAUAAACAAAAUAUAUCUUCGAUUGACCUAGUGCAAGAUGAUGAUGAGAUGAAGAUGAGCCACCAGGCUGCUGUAUGCUCACACUGAUGCAAGUGUUUUUCAAAAAUUAGCCCCGCCCCCGCAAUGGUCGAAAAUCUCCCACUGCCAUAAUUUUCACGAUAAAAGAAAACUAAAAGCUAAAAGAGCGUGUGUCGUGAAAAGAGAUGUAGAUGUAGAUGACAAAUGUAAAAAAAAUGUAAAAUGUAAAAAUCGAAAAAAAAACACUAAACACGGUACUGAGUACCGGGUAUACAAGUUGUCCCUUCUCGUUUGUUUUCUCUUAUCUUAAAAAUUGGGGAUACAGCCGAUUUUCGUCCUUUGUUUUCGACCUGGCUAAUUUUUAAAAUACGGUUGUAUCAGUGUGUGUACCAGACAGACUUGGCCAUUGAUGCUGAUCAAGAAUAUAAAAGAGUUGGAAUUAGCUUGGCAGCAGUGUAUUUACAAAAUAUUUAAUUUACAUAUCUCUAUUUUUUUCAUUUCAGAACUGAACAAGAAUCCAGUAGAAGGUUUCUCAGCUGGAUUAAUAGAUGAGAAUGAUAUAUUCCGCUGGGAAGUCCUAAUAAUUGGUCCGCCAGAUACACUUUAGUAUGUUUAUAUACUUAGAUAUUUCAUGUAAAUUUAAACAGUUCUUGCAAUGACCUGACCACGUUGUUAGUUUGUUAUUGGCUAGAUACUUGCACCGCAAUGACAUAUAUUUCCGAUCGCAUAAGUCCCUCAGAUAAAGUAAAAUCACAUAUAAGUUAAAAAGGUCGCCGAAUUAAAACAGAAAAACAGAAUUUUGUUUUUCAAUUUGAAAUUUUAAUUUACACAUUAUACAUAUGAAGGCUUACAUAUUCGUAUUCUAUGAGUUUCCACUACACCUUGUUGUAAAUAGUUUAGCAGUACCCCCGAUUUAUACGAGUGUUGAGAACUGCCAUUAGUGGCCGGGAUCUGAAUCUGUUGAAUGCAGUGGAUAAAACCAAUUGGAUUUAAAAUUAGUAUAGUUCAUCCAUUUUCAAAAACCUUCUGAGGUGUCUGCUUCCUAAGAAGCGAGAGCUCUGCAUAGCUUUUUUGUUAAUCAAUCUGGAAUUGCUUCUUUUAAUGGGAAAUUUAAAUAAAUUCAAUAUAAAUAUUUAUGUAGACUUUGCAGUUUGUCAUUAUUGGAAAUACAAAAAAUGUCUCGUUCUCUACAGUCGAAUUAAUCCGAAUUUAUUUAUUUUCCUGUAGUGAAGGAGGCUUUUUCAAAGCACAUCUUUAUUUCCCCAAAGAAUAUCCUUUGCGUCCACCUCGAAUGAAGUUCGUCACAGAAAUUUGGCACCCUAAUAUUGAAAAAAACGGAGACGUCUGCAUUUCCAUUUUACACGAACCUGGAGAUGAUAAGUGGGGAUACGAAAAAGCAUCGGAGCGCUGGUUACCCGUGCAUACAGUGGAAACUAUCUUGAUAUCAGUGAUAUCAAUGUUGGCUGAUCCCAACGAUGAGUCUCCAGCAAAUGUAGAUGCCGCCAAAGAAUGGCGAGAAUCUUAUCCUGACUUUAAACGCAAAGUAGCUCGCUGUGUCCGAAAAAGUCAAGAGGAGUGCUCGUAGAAGAUGGAUUUGCACUAUAUUUGUAUAUUUAUAUUAAAAAUUUGAUACAUUAAAAAGAAUAACUGAAUUAACAGACGAAUAUUUUAUUUUUUUUAAAGGAUUUUGAUGAAAACAAAUGUUCUGAAUUUUUAGUUUUAUGCUAUACUCGAAAAGGACAAAUUAAAAUAUAUUGUCCAAAACUGCAUUUUUCAUUUUUGACAAACUCUUGAGUGUUAAUAUAGGUGUACUAUUAUAUUCUAAUAUUUUAAUAACUACCUAAGCUCAUCUUAUCAAUGUUUUGGAGAACAUAAAGCCAACGCUACGGUAUAUGACAUAAAUAUGAAUGUACAUAUUUAUAAGCAGUAUGCAUACAGUUGUGUUCAACGAAAUCGUAGUGUCGCACCUCAUCACUUUCACAACUAUUUUUGAGACCCUUCCAGUCUUUCGAAUUAAACAAGUGAUACCUUUUUGGAAAGCCUGAAGUGUACACAUUACAAGCAAGAAUGAAUACUGAAACAUUUGCAUUCCAUUUUCUUGAUUUUCAUAACUUUUGACGGGUACCCUUGAAAUGGGCUAAUUAAAAAAACACAAUAUUAUUUAAAAAUGUCACCAUCUUAAGUAAGCUUAACCUAUAUAUUAAAUAUUUCGAAGAAAAAAUGUUUGGACGUGGCGGUAUUUUUGUUUUUGUAGCGUUGAAAAAAAGAUUGCUCGAUCUAGAAGAGGAGUCCUAAGAUUUGGAUUGAAAACUAAAGUCAGGAGGUAUAAUCGG